GAUGAACGCUGGCGGCGUGCUUAACACAUGCAAGUCGAACGAUGAAGCCCAGCUUGCUGGGUGGAUUAGUGGCGAACGGGUGAGUAACACGUGAGUAACCUGCCCUUAACUCUGGGAUAAGCCUGGGAAACUGGGUCUAAUACCGGAUAGGAGCGUCCACCGCAUGGUGGGUGUUGGAGAGAUUUAUCGGUUUUGGAUGGACUCGCGGCCUAUCAGCUUGUUGGUGAGGUAAUGGCUCACCAAGGCGACAACGGGUAGCCGGCCUGAGAGGGUGACCGGCCACACUGGGACUGAGACACGGCCCAGACUCCUACGGGAGGCAGCAGUGGGGAAUAUUGCACAAUGGGCGCAAGCCUGAUGCAGCGACGCCGCGUGAGGGAUGACGGCCUUCGGGUUGUAAACCUCUUUCAGUAGGGAAGAAGCGAAAGUGACGGUACCUGCAGAAGAAGCACCGGCUAACUACGUG
This 466-nucleotide ribosomal RNA is filed under the name uncultured bacterium. RNAcentral describes it as "partial 16S ribosomal RNA". It matches the Rfam family "Bacterial small subunit ribosomal RNA", at positions 28 to 507 of the family's 1533-position model. The record is from RNAcentral.